Molecule: ribosomal RNA, 445 nt
Filed under: uncultured marine bacterium
Lineage: Bacteria
Description: bacterial SSU rRNA
Rfam family: Bacterial small subunit ribosomal RNA
Source: RNAcentral
AAUCAUUCACAAUGGGCGGAAGCCUGAUGAUGCAAUGCCGCGUGGGGGAUGACGGUCUUCGGAUUGUAAACCCCUGUCACCAAGGACUAAACGACGGUGAAGAGCCGUCCUGAAUUAACUUGGAGAGGAAGCAGUGGCUAACUCCGUGCCAGCAGCCGCGGUAAUACGGAGACUGCGAGCGUUACUCGGAUUCACUGGGCGUAAAGGGUGCGCAGGCGGCCAGGUGUGUCAGAUGUGAAAGCCUACGGCUCAACCGUAGAACUGCAUUUGAAACUACUUGGCUAGAGUAUCGGAGAGGUAAGCGGAAUUCCUAGUGUAGCGGUGAAAUGCGUAGAUAUUAGGAGGAACACCAAAGGCGAAGGCAGCUUACUGGACGAUUACUGACGCUCAGGCACGAAAGCGUGGGGAGCGAAAGGGAUUAGAUACCCCUGUAGUCCACGCCGUA